This 75-nucleotide transfer RNA is filed under the name Aspergillus cristatus. It matches the Rfam family "tRNA". Rfam says of the family: Transfer RNA (tRNA) molecules are approximately 80 nucleotides in length. Their secondary structure includes four short double-helical elements and three loops (D, anti-codon, and T loops). Further hydrogen bonds mediate the characteristic L-shaped molecular structure. tRNAs have two regions of fundamental functional importance: the anti-codon, which is responsible for specific mRNA codon recognition, and the 3' end, to which the tRNAs corresponding amino acid is attached (by aminoacyl-tRNA synthetases). tRNAs cope with the degeneracy of the genetic code in two manners: having more than one tRNA (with a specific anti-codon) for a particular amino acid; and 'wobble' base-pairing, i.e. permitting non-standard base-pairing at the 3rd anti-codon position. The record is from Rfam by way of RNAcentral. Lineage: Eukaryota; Fungi; Ascomycota; Eurotiomycetes; Eurotiales; Aspergillaceae.
GUCUCCGUGGCGCAAUAGGCUAGCGCGUCUGACUGUUAAUCAGGAGGUUGGAAGUUUCGAGCCUUCCCGGGGAGG